Long non-coding RNA from Carassius auratus (goldfish), 1140 nucleotides. RefSeq lists it as uncharacterized. NCBI's taxonomy places the organism in Eukaryota, Metazoa, Chordata, Actinopteri, Cypriniformes, Cyprinidae. The record is from RefSeq and is a predicted model, not a curated record. The transcript has 4 exons.
GUUCAUCCUCAUAAUCCUCUGAAAGGAAAGCAGAUAAAAAUGCAGUCUCAAACUCAUUCCAGGUGGUUAUGGUGGACCGUCUGACUUCCCACCAGUCUCGUGCUGUUCCGUACAAGACAGUACGGAAGGUAGCCAGGAUGUCUGCAUCUGUCAGGGGAUGUAUAGCCAAAAAAUCCUGACAUUUGGUUAGGUACAAUAGGGGGUCUGCAUCAUCUGAAGGCCUUCCAAAUGUGGGGAAGGUUAAUUUAAUAUGGUCACUUUUAACCACAGAUGUUAACGGAGGGGUUGAAGAAGUUGAAGGAGUCACUGGAGCAGAAGGAGAUGGCUGGGAUGAAAUACUGAUAGUGCUGGGACCUGGUGGCGUCAAGACGCUUAACCUUUGUUGAUCUGCACUUUUUUUAACACUUUGAAAUCCUUUCUCCACUUCACUUUUCAACCCUUUGAAACCGUGUUUUGAACAGCUUUGAUGUCCUGCUGAACCUCUGCUUGGAGUUGAUCAACCAUGAAUCGUAGUUCAGAAACCAAGCAAGAUCAGCAAUCUGGCUCUGGUGCUGAGAAGAGGUAUCUUUCACUUCCUGGGUGAGAGUUUGUACUGGAGUGCUCCCAGCCAGAGCAGGAGAGGACAUGUGCACAUGGGUUCCAGGAUGAACAGGGCUGAGUGGAGUGGGGGUAUGGUAGAACACCGGAGCACAUGGAGGUGGUUCCAGAGGCAUCCCCGGUCGCAGUGCAGGCGGCCAUACUGGAGUUGAGAUGUCUGGUGGAGGCUCAAUUUCCACAAAAGUAGAUUGGGAGGGAGGGGUAUGUGCCAUGAUUGCGGUGAUUGAGUGCAAGAAUGUUGAGUGUGAAAACCAAUAAAUAUCAGUAAAUGAGAUGUGUUUCAGUUUGUUUGUCCCUGAAAUAUUUAUACUAAACAACAAAAUACAACAUUUCACAACUGUUCAAUCAUUAUUAUCUCACAAACACCAAGUAAAUCAAAAACAAUAAGUAUUCAAAGUAAGUCGCUUUCACUAUUUUCCACUAUUCAAACAAUUAUCAAUUACUGUGACACCUUAGAGAGAACACCUCUAAUUGUUCAUUUAGCGUUCACAGUAUACACACAAAAAAAAAAACAAUUUUCAAGAUUAAUUUAGACAAUUUCAU